Molecule: long non-coding RNA, 1742 nt
Organism: Haemorhous mexicanus (house finch)
Lineage: Eukaryota; Metazoa; Chordata; Aves; Passeriformes; Fringillidae
Exons: 2
Source: RefSeq, a predicted model, not a curated record
CGGAGCCGCGCCGGGCGGGGCGCGCGCGUGACGCGGCCACGUGUCCUGGGGUCACGUGCGGCGCGCCCGUCUCCACCCCACCCCCGGGCCCGCUCUUCCUUCGGGUACCCCCAACAGUGGCGGCCGGGAUGGGACCCCAUCACCCCCCGGUGUCCCGGUACCCACCGCCCAUAGACCCCUGUGUUCCGCUAUCCAUUACCCAUCGCCUCCAGGUGUACCGGUAUCCACCGCCCAUCAACCCCGGGUUCCCCCACGGUUCCGGGUCCCUGCCCAGCCGAACCUGCCGGGACAGCGGCUACUGCUGCGUGUCCCGACCCCCGGUCGGGCUCCCUGCUCUUACCGGGCGGCCCCGGUGCCGUUCACCUGCUGCCCGCGCAGUCCCCCCGUCCCCCCAGGCGUUACCCCGGGGGUCGCGGGGGCCACUCCAGCAGCUGCCACCGAGCCGCACCGGCAGCCAGCCAGGGACUCGGGCACGACGAGCACUUGGGGAAUUUCUCUUGUGUCUCCUGGAGCAGUUAUUUAUAGGAAUCUCCAAAUGCUUCCACUCCAGCUGCCCGGGGACUGCACACUGACCCCCGCUCGGGUCCUCCUCAGCAUCCCGGGAGCAGGACAUGCACUGUCCCUGCCCUGUCCCCCCCCGCUGCUCAGCAGACUGCUAAAAAUACUCUUAACCCUCUGAACAGACUGAGAGUGACAUGUGAAUCCCACAGGUGAGCUCCCACCUCAGCCCAAACCUGGAGCUGUGGAUUUGGGUUUUGGACACCCAGCAUGAGUUUGUUAUUUUCUUGAAGUCUAAGGUAUGACUCAGACAAUUUAAUUCUCCUCCUGCCUCAGUGUGGGGCUGGGCACAGGGGUAGUGGGACAGGAUCUGCCCCUGCUGCCUCGGGAAGCAGGUGAGGGGAGUUGGGUGGAGAUGGCCCAGUGUCACCCUUCCCGAGGCUCCCCAUGCUCACUCCAGGUCAAACCAGACAUUUCCUUUCCCCUCUGCAUGGUGACAGCGUGGCACAGCCUGAUGGUGCCACAGCAGAGCACAUCUGUCACCCACACCCCAGUGAGACUGUCCCCCUGCCAUCAGCUGUGACACAGCCCCAACAACACCCAGGGAACAGCCCAAACCAAGGCCCAGCCUCCCUGCAGAGCUUGCAAGAGUCAAAAAGACACAGCCAGCCCUGGGGUGGGUGUAGGACAGCUGGAUGUGGGCUCCUGACAACCCCUCUUCCAAGAGCCACCAGCAGCAGCCAGCGCUCCCCAGCUAAGGCUGAGAGGUUCCUUCAGAGCACAGCAGAACAACCCCAGGAUCAGCUGCUGUCAGGCCAAACCCAGACCAGGUGCUUUAUUCACUUCAUAUUUAUUUAUUUUUCACAAAGACUGUACAAAAUUCUUAUAAAACUCUGGUGUGGGGAUGGGCUAUGACAUUGAUCCAAAAAAUAAUUCCCAUGCAGUCCCACCAGUUCCAUAACUUACAAGGAAACAGAUAAGCUACAGAGAGCUGCGAGUCCUGGAGUAUUUACACCGAGGAGGGCAGGAACAGGAGACAAAGCAACACAGGACCAGAGGUAUUUACAGCACGGACACACAGGCCCCCCUCACCUCACGAGAACGGCAGCAGCGACAGCAGGUCAGGCCCGUGGUGCUCCUAGGCCGACAGAGAAUCUGGGCUAUUUACAGUAUCUCACAUAUUAACAGCUUUACAAACGUGUCCAGGAAGUUCAUCUCAUGUUUAUAAAAAAAAAAGCACCAAG